UACCGCAGCGUGUCUCCGUCAAUCCCGCCCCCUAGCCCGCCCUUCCCUCCCUCUCUCCCCUCCCCUCUCCCCUUUAGUAACCAUCCCAGCAACCCUUUGCAAAGCUGUUUCAAUUAAUGGGUUGACGGCUGUACUUGUUAUAAGGAAGCCACGGAAACUGUUACAGCUGAGGGUAAAAUUCCUUGGACAGAGUCUCUUUACGUGAGCACGCGAAAGGACCCCUUGUUUUGGCGCGGCUUCCUGUGGCCCGGUGCCACGCGGCCUUCAGCGGGCGCUGCUGAGCAGAGCAGAGGAGACGGAGACCGUCCUGGUGGACUGCAGCCGGUCUGGUCACCCUCGGAUUAAUAAGACGUACACCUUUGAAAGGUAAGCUUCUUCGGGAUGACGGGGCAGCCACGUCACGCAGAGGUCAGCUCUGCCUCGCGGUUCGAUGGCGAAAAGGUACAGCUUGCCCCGUUGGUCUAAGUGCGAAGGAAAGGCCCUUAGUUCCGUGGACGGAGCACUGUCUUUCCGCAAGUGUUGCUGGACGGCUGGCCGUCCACAGGCCACAGAGAAACGCGUCUUCACCCACGCAGCACACGCCUGUGGAAAGGUUGCCUGAGAUGGAAACUAGGCCCAGGUAGGACGCCUAAAACUGAAGCCUUUGGAAGACAACGUAGGAGGGAGGCUUUGUGGCCUUGGGUUAAGGGAGGAAUUCUUAGAAACGCCACCUAAAGCACGAUCCUUCAAAGAACUGAAAUUCAAACCUUCUG
Molecule: long non-coding RNA, 752 nt
Filed under: Sus scrofa (pig)
Lineage: Eukaryota; Metazoa; Chordata; Mammalia; Artiodactyla; Suidae
Description: lncRNA (ENSSSCG00025017098.1)
Source: RNAcentral